Phellopilus nigrolimitatus is the source of this 74-nucleotide non-coding RNA. The record is from the annotation of a GenBank genome assembly. NCBI's taxonomy places the organism in Eukaryota, Fungi, Basidiomycota, Agaricomycetes, Hymenochaetales, Hymenochaetaceae.
AGCGGCAUGGCGCAGUGGUUUAGCGCGCAAGGCUCAUAACCUUGAGGUCACUGGAUCGAUACCAGUUGUCGCUA